GAUGAACGCUGGCGGCGUGCCUAAUACAUGCAAGUCGAGCGAAGCGGGGACGGGUGAGUAACACGUGGAUAACCUCCUAUAAGACUGGGAUAACUUCCGGAAACCGGAGCUAAACCGGGUACUUAUAGAUGGAUCUGCGCCGCAUUAGAUAGUUGGUAAGGUAACGGCUUACCAAGGCAACGAUGCAUAGCCGACCUGAGAGGGGGAGCGGCCAAACGGGAAAUGAGAAAAGGUCAAGGCGCGUACGGUAGGGAGAAGGAGGGAAUCGGGCGCAAUGGGUGAAAGCCUGAAGGAGCAAGGCCGGGGCAGUGAGGAGGGAAAAAAGAUAGCAAAACUCUGUUAUUAUUGAGACGGUACCUAUUCAUCAUGCCACGGCUAAUUACGAGCCAGCAGCCGCGGUAAUAC
Molecule: ribosomal RNA, 405 nt
Filed under: uncultured bacterium
Lineage: Bacteria
Description: partial 16S ribosomal RNA
Rfam family: Bacterial small subunit ribosomal RNA
Source: RNAcentral